Hevea brasiliensis (rubber tree) is the source of this 1909-nucleotide long non-coding RNA. RefSeq lists it as uncharacterized. The record is from RefSeq and is a predicted model, not a curated record. Lineage: Eukaryota; Viridiplantae; Streptophyta; Magnoliopsida; Malpighiales; Euphorbiaceae. The transcript is spliced from 5 exons.
UUGUGUUAAUUUGACAACAUUGAAUGAGCAGCGUGAAAUCCAAUCUGGUGGACUGAUUUGCUUUUCCAAUAGGCACAAAAACAAUAUGACUGUCACUCUUGAUUAUAAAACUUAAGACCUUGAUUCCUACUUAAUUUUGCAAUUUUGUUUUCUUGACUCUCUAGUUUUAACUGGAGUUGCCACUAUGAAGAGGUCCCAUAAUCCCUUGUAGUUUUAGCUUCUACCCUUUGCAAGAGACUUGGUUUUCUAUGCAGAAACUGACAAGGUGGUAAUUGCCUCUGUUAAUAAAAUGAUGAACCUCCCUAUAUCCAAAUUUUAAACUGAAGCAUUAUUUGUUGUUCUCAAAAUGAAAUGCUGUGCCUGUCUCUAAGUGUAAUAUUCUUGUUCAUUGUGAAUUUGAUGUCAUUACCUCAAUGAAUGCCAAACUCACCUCAAAGCAGUUGUUUAUAGAUGUUGAUUUUGACAAUUGGUGAGUUAACUAUGACAAUUUUGUGUAGUUAAAUUCGUUUGUAAGAGUUUAUUUCUGGCUUCUUAUUUUUUUUUCCUCUCAUUAUGCGGCUUCUAAAAUGUAGGAUGGAAAUCAUUGUGAUGAAGGUCAUUUUCAUCUAUCAACUCUCUUCACCUCAUUCCUUUCAACAUUGGGAUUUAUGCACGAUAAAUACCUGAAGUUGAAGUUUCAUCUCCCUUGGCUAGAGAAACUGCUGAUUGCAAUGACUUUCAUAUGUGCAAUAAUGAAUGGCUGUGGAUGAACUUCGACUUGCCGUCACAUUUUAACAUCUUGGGACUGUAGAAUUUCUUUAUUGAUGGCUUCUUCAGAUAAGUGAAAGAAAAGCACAUCCAUCAAUCAUAGCAAUUCUUGCACUUGCAAAUAGUUGUAAAAUUCCAUCUCUUGUAAGGCAAGUAAAUCCUGCUCUCUUUAAAUUUCUCAAGUUACUGUACAUGAUUCCAUAGCUUUCCUUUGAUGCUUGAGCAUGUUGGAUUAAAUGUAUAAUACAUUCAAAGGAAACUUUAUAAUGCUCAAAUUUAGUUGUAGUCCUGAAAUUACAUUAAACCUAUCAAAUCAGAUUCCUUGUUUACUUUGUAAACUGACUCGAAGAUUUUUUUUUUCAUUAAGGUUUGACUGUUCAACAUUCCCAAUGAUGUUCAUGUGCAUUACUGUUGUUGUUGAGUGAUUGGUUCUCUCCCCAUUUACAUCAUCAUUUGGGCAGUAGUCAUUCUAUGUGAAUAAUGGCAUGAAUCAUUGACCCAUAAUUGAAAGUUAAAUAUGGAGUGACUAUGAGUCUCUUCCAUCAAAGCAUCGACCUGUAUCUUCGUGGAUCCCUCUGCCGCUAAAUCACCUCAAGUGGAACGUUGAAGGUUCCUCCCUAGGAUUGAUGAUUCAAGCGCCGCAGAGUUAAAGGCCAUUCAAAAAGCGUUUGUUGUCUGUUUCUCCUCCUCUUUACCCUACUAAUGCUGUCGGUAUCCUUAUUGAAACUGACCCUAAGAUCGCUGUGUCUUGGGUGAAUAACGAUGACACUAAGACAGUACACCUCGGCGUCUCUCCUCUGUGCUGAACUCUAUUAGCUGCAACCUAAAGCGCCUCCCUAAUGCCGGGGUGAGUCAUGCUCCUAGAGCAGUGAAUUGCUUCGCUGACUCUCUUGCAAACAGGGAUUGUACCGCAAUUGUAUCUGUUAGCUUUGUUAUAAUUGCUUUGCGUCACUUUCUGUUGACAUAGGUAGAAGGUCUUGCUUCAUUAGGUUGGGUGUAAGGGAUAUGCCUGCUGGCAUGGGUUUAGUUGGACGCAGCCUUCUAUCCAUUUCUCUUUUCAUUAAUAAAUUGCAUUUUGCUUGUAUAUAAAAAAGGGAAGUAUUAUGUAUUGAUUUAAAAUAUUAUACACAGUUUUCAAUUGUAUGAAGCGUUUUUUGAGAAA